UACGUAGGGGGCUAGCGUUGUCCGGAUUUAUUGGGCGUAAAGAGCGUGUAGGCGGCCGGGUAAGUCCGGUGUGAAAACUCGAGGCUUAACCUCGAGAUGUCAUCGGAAACUAUUCGGCUAGAGUCCGGAAGAGGAGAGUGGAAUUCCUGGUUUAGCGGUGAAAUGCGCAGAUAUCAGGAAGAACACCGAUGGCGAAGGCAGGUCUCUGGGCCAUAACUGACGCUGAGAAGCGAAAGCAUGGGGAGCGAACAGG
Molecule: ribosomal RNA, 253 nt
Filed under: uncultured bacterium
Lineage: Bacteria
Description: partial 16S ribosomal RNA
Rfam family: Bacterial small subunit ribosomal RNA
Source: RNAcentral